AUAAGAAACUACUUUUUAAGUAUUUUAGUUUUCAUUUUAAUAUUAUAUUUUAUGUUUACUGUGUAUUAUCAUUUAAUGGGUUCAAUUAAUUAUUACAGCUUCAUUUUAAACAAAGUCAAUUUGAAAAAAAAUUGUGCUGAUGGUUGGAAGAAAUUUAAACUAAAUGCUGUUUGUUCUGACAUUGUUCAAUGUCCCCAAUCCUCUACCACAAUUUGACACAGUGCCUCUGGUACAGUGCCUUAACAAAAGUGGUUUAUUAUGCUUAUUAAAAUGGGACCCGAAGAUUGUCACAGAGUUCACACCAUGACGAUGAUGCACUGGCUACAAAAUGUUCAUUCACCGACCAUAAUCAGUAAUCACUAAUCUCCUGAAAUAUUUGACAUAUUUUGUAAUUCAAGGAUAUACAUUUUGUUUAAUAUGCCAUGAAUUCCCCAAAAGGUAAAUUAUAUACAAAAUAUUUUAACAUCAUUCAAACGAUGAAGCAAAGUGGAUUGUUAUCAAAAUUUCCCAAAAAAAGUCUUCAAAAUUUACAUGUCCAAUAUGGAUAAAAACUAUGGAUUUACUUGCGCAUCAUAUCUGAAUACUAUGAUUGUAAUCCGUAAUAAAAUAUUGGUGUCUUGGCUUAGCGUGAUGGCUGUUACCAAUGGCGCAAUGCAACUGUGUGUAAGUAACGCCCGCAUCUACUAGCUCCCGGAUGGGUGACCAACCGGUUUCGUAGUAGUUAAAACCUUGCCACACAUACACGUGUUGCUUACGUACCGCAACAACACCUUACCAUACCACAGUCCAUAACCCCUACAAUAGCUUAUGGCCAUAGUCGGGUUUAAGUUCAAUUAAAAAAAAAAAAAAUAAAUAACCAAAAAGUCCUCAUUAUGAUUGGAAUACAUUAAUUUAAAAAAAAAUUAAUCGAUGAAUUAAAAAAUGAUCUGAAAAGGAUUAUUUAUAUCAUAUAGCAAUAUUAUAUUAUUAUAUUGUGUAGAUUUUAAAUUUUUUCGAUGGCUCAAUCACAAUAAUAUUAUAGCACUCCCUAAACUUAAUUAUAUAAUAUAGAGAUUAGAGGCGACUGGCGACCGUUUUGUGGAGGUUGUUCAUCCCUAAAACUCAUAAGAUUAGCGAACUACUCUGUUAGCCAUAUCAUUAUAAUAAUUCUUAAAUUAUUAAUACUUUCUAUCUUAGGUAAUUUAUUUUGCAAUAAUUACAAAAUAAAUAUAAUAUUAUUUUACAACGAAGAAUAAAUUAUUGUAAAUAUGAUGUGCCAAUAUCCGAUGCCGUGCAAUAUGGAUAUAAUUAAAAUAUUUUAUUAUAUUCGGGUAUCAACUUGUAAUUAAUUUAAUUACCAAAAAUCUAUAUACAAUUAUUCAAACAUAAAAAAUAAUAAUACGUAAAAAACAUUGUACUGUGCAUAAGGUGUGCACUGAAUACUGAAAUAUUUAUCGUGUUAACAGGCUGUCGAUAAAACAAUUUUUAAUUCGUUGGGUAAAAUAAAUUUAUCUGCAAAUACUAAAAAUAAUAUUUUUAAUAUUCAGUUAUUAUCUUUAUU
Long non-coding RNA from Metopolophium dirhodum (rose-grain aphid), 1540 nucleotides. RefSeq lists it as uncharacterized. NCBI's taxonomy places the organism in Eukaryota, Metazoa, Arthropoda, Insecta, Hemiptera, Aphididae. The transcript has 3 exons. The record is from RefSeq and is a predicted model, not a curated record.